GGUAACCAUAAAAAAAACGCACUUGGGAUGCAAUGCCGCAAGAGAGAAAAAGGAGAGGAGGAAGACGAUGAUGUUAUCAGAAACAAUAAUGCAAUGCCAUAAGAGAGAAAAAAGGAGAGGAGCAGAGAAAAAGGAGAGGAGGAAGACGAUGAUAUCAGAAACUGCAAUGUCGCGAAGAGUUUGUGGUUUAUUUAACAUGAAAUGGGACGUCGGUUGCAACAGAAACCGACGUCUAUAGUCCCAUAGACGUCAGUUAUCUAACUAAUCGGACGUCAAAGAUAACUUUUAAUUUGAUUUUUUAAAUGCAUAUUAGACGUCGGUUAUUGCGCUGAACUGAUUGACAUUUCAUUUCCUGUCAGGGAAGUAGACGACAGUUAUCCAGGGCGCCGACGUCUAUAACAAUAUAGACGUCGGAGCUCUGUUAUCGGACGUCGAAGUGCCUGCAAGUUUGGUAAACAUCAUUAAUUACAGGCACAUAGAAGUCACCCACCGAGAAAUCCGACGUCUAUAUUGUAGAAAUU
Molecule: long non-coding RNA, 521 nt
Filed under: Vigna radiata
Lineage: Eukaryota; Viridiplantae; Streptophyta; Magnoliopsida; Fabales; Fabaceae
Description: long non-coding RNA (VRAD_LNC000271)
Source: RNAcentral